This 497-nucleotide ribosomal RNA is filed under the name uncultured bacterium. RNAcentral describes it as "partial 16S ribosomal RNA". It matches the Rfam family "Bacterial small subunit ribosomal RNA", at positions 28 to 507 of the family's 1533-position model. The record is from RNAcentral.
GAUGAACGCUGGCGGCGUGCCUAAUACAUGCAAGUCGAGCGAACAGACGAGGAGCUUGCUCCUCUGACGUUAGCGGCGGACGGGUGAGUAACACGUGGAUAACCUACCUAUAAGACUGGGAUAACUUCGGGAAACCGGAGCUAAUACCGGAUAAUAUAUUGAACCGCAUGGUUCAAUAGUGAAAGACGGUUUUGCUGUCACUUAUAGAUGGAUCCGCGCCGCAUUAGCUAGUUGGUAAGGUAACGGCUUACCAAGGCAACGAUGCGUAGCCGACCUGAGAGGGUGAUCGGCCACACUGGAACUGAGACACGGUCCAGACUCCUACGGGAGGCAGCAGUAGGGAAUCUUGCGCAAUGGGCGAAAGCCUGACGGAGCAACGCCGCGUGAUUGAUGAAGGUCUUCGGAUCGUAAAACUCUGUUAUUAGGGAAGAACAAAUGUGUAAGUAACUAUGCACGUCUUGACGGUACCUAAUCAGAAAGCCACGGCUAACUACGUG